AUGCAGCAGUUCUACACUCCGGUUCUUCCGUUCCGUCCGUACCCACCUGACGACUGUUCGCUACGUUUUUUUACCC
Molecule: small RNA, 76 nt
Filed under: Xanthomonas codiaei
Lineage: Bacteria; Pseudomonadati; Pseudomonadota; Gammaproteobacteria; Lysobacterales; Lysobacteraceae
Description: sX9 sRNA
Rfam family: Xanthomonas sRNA sX9
Source: RNAcentral